GUCCUAUUGAUUAUUAUUUUAGGUCUGGCCUGCCCAAUGAUAAAUAUUUAAUGGCCGCGGUAAUUUGACCGUGCAAAGGUAGCAUAAUCAUUAGUUUUUUAAUUGAAAGCUUGUAUGAAAGGUUUAAUGAAAAAAUAACUGUCUCUGUUAAAAUUUAUUUUAAAAAUUUAUUUUUAAGUUAAAAAGCUUAAAUUUUUAUAGAAGACGAGAAGACCCUAUAGAGUUUUACAUAAUUUUAAGUAAAUAAAGUUUUAGUAUUAUUUAGUUUAUUUUUUAUUAUGUUUAAUUGGGGUGAUUAAAAAAUUUGCUUAACUUUUUUUUAGAAUUUCCAUUUAUUUAUGUUUGUAUGAUCCUUUACUAAAGAUUAAAAGAAAAAAUUACCUUAGGGAUAACAGCGUAAUUUUUUUUUAGAGUUCUUAUCGAAAAAAAAGAUUGCGACCUCGAUGUUGGAUUAAAAAAAAUUAUUGGUGUAGAAGCUAAUAAAUUAGGUCUGUUCGACCUUUAAAAUUUUACAUGAUCUGAGUUUAAACCGGUGUAAG
RNAcentral lists this ribosomal RNA (539 nucleotides) under Methidrysis cf. afflicta ARC4756. RNAcentral describes it as "partial 16S large subunit ribosomal RNA". It matches the Rfam family "Bacterial large subunit ribosomal RNA", at positions 1830 to 2625 of the family's 2925-position model. Lineage: Eukaryota; Metazoa; Arthropoda; Insecta; Coleoptera; Curculionidae. The record is from RNAcentral.